CGGGGGAGGCGGGAUCCUGGGCUGUGUCCCAGCGCCCUGUGCUCCGGGGCCUGCGCUGGUGGAUUCGCGCUCCCGCCCCGCAGCCCCCU
RNAcentral lists this microRNA precursor (89 nucleotides) under Canis lupus familiaris (dog). RNAcentral describes it as "mir-8799 microRNA precursor family". It matches the Rfam family "mir-8799 microRNA precursor family". Lineage: Eukaryota; Metazoa; Chordata; Mammalia; Carnivora; Canidae. The record is from Rfam by way of RNAcentral.